GCGGUAAUACGUAGGGUGCAAGCGUUGUCCGGAAUUAUUGGGCGUAAAGAGCUCGUAGGCGGUUUGUCGCGUCUGCUGUGAAAACCCGAGGCUCAACCUCGGGCCUGCAGUGGGUACGGGCAAACUAGAGUGCGGUAGGGGAGAUUGGAAUUCCUGGUGUAGCGGUGGAAUGCGCAGAUAUCAGGAGGAACACCGAUGGCGAAGGCAGAUCUCUGGGCCGUAACUGACGCUGAGGAGCGAAAGCGUGGGGAGCGAACAGGAUUAGAUACCCUGGUAGUCCACGCCGUAAACGUUGGGAACUAGAUGUGGGGACCAUUCCACGGUCUCCGUGUCGCAGCUAACGCAUUAAGUUCCCCGCCUGGGGAGUACGGCCGCAAGGCUAAAACUCAAAGGAAUUGACGGGGGCCCGCACAAGCGGCGGAGCAUGCGGAUUAAUUCGAUGCAACGCGAAGAACCUUACCAAGGCUUGACAUAUACCGGAAACGGCUGGAAACAGUCGCCCCGCAAGGUCGGUAUACAGGUGGUGCAUGGUUGUCGUCAGCUCGUGUCGUGAGAUGUUGGGUUAAGUCCCGCAACGAGCGCAACCCUCGUUCUAUGUUGCCAGCACGUAAUGGUGGGAACUCAUAGGAGACUGCCGGGGUCAACUCGGAGGAAGGUGGGGAUGACGUCAAAUCAUCAUGCCCCUUAUGUCUUGGGCUUCACGCAUGCUACAAUGGCCGGUACAAAGGGCUGCAAUACCGCAAGGUGGAGCGAAUCCCAAAAAGCCGGUCUCAGUUCGGAUUGAGGUCUGCAACUCGACCUCAUGAAGUCGGAGUCGCUAGUAAUCGCAGAUCAGCAACGCUGCGGUGAAUACGUUCCCGGGCCUUGUACACACCGCCCGUCAAGUCAUGAAAGUCGGUAACACCCGAAG
RNAcentral lists this ribosomal RNA (910 nucleotides) under Diaminobutyricimonas aerilata. RNAcentral's name for it is "bacterial SSU rRNA". It matches the Rfam family "Bacterial small subunit ribosomal RNA", at positions 517 to 1426 of the family's 1533-position model. The record is from RNAcentral. Lineage: Bacteria; Bacillati; Actinomycetota; Actinomycetes; Micrococcales; Microbacteriaceae.